This 1425-nucleotide ribosomal RNA is filed under the name Bifidobacterium pseudocatenulatum. RNAcentral's name for it is "bacterial SSU rRNA". It matches the Rfam family "Bacterial small subunit ribosomal RNA". Lineage: Bacteria; Bacillati; Actinomycetota; Actinomycetes; Bifidobacteriales; Bifidobacteriaceae. The record is from RNAcentral.
UUUGGGGGGGGCUUUACACAUUGCAAGUCGACGGGAUCCAUCAGGCUUUGCUUGGUGGUGAGAGUGGCGAACGGGUGAGUAAUGCGUGACCGACCUGCCCCAUACACCGGAAUAGCUCCUGGAAACGGGUGGUAAUGCCGGAUGCUCCGACUCCUCGCAUGGGGUGUCGGGAAAGAUUUCAUCGGUAUGGGAUGGGGUCGCGUCCUAUCAGGUAGUCGGCGGGGUAACGGCCCACCGAGCCUACGACGGGUAGCCGGCCUGAGAGGGCGACCGGCCACAUUGGGACUGAGAUACGGCCCAGACUCCUACGGGAGGCAGCAGUGGGGAAUAUUGCACAAUGGGCGCAAGCCUGAUGCAGCGACGCCGCGUGCGGGAUGACGGCCUUCGGGUUGUAAACCGCUUUUGAUCGGGAGCAAGCCUUCGGGUGAGUGUACCUUUCGAAUAAGCACCGGCUAACUACGUGCCAGCAGCCGCGGUAAUACGUAGGGUGCAAGCGUUAUCCGGAAUUAUUGGGCGUAAAGGGCUCGUAGGCGGUUCGUCGCGUCCGGUGUGAAAGUCCAUCGCUUAACGGUGGAUCUGCGCCGGGUACGGGCGGGCUGGAGUGCGGUAGGGGAGACUGGAAUUCCCGGUGUAACGGUGGAAUGUGUAGAUAUCGGGAAGAACACCAAUGGCGAAGGCAGGUCUCUGGGCCGUUACUGACGCUGAGGAGCGAAAGCGUGGGGAGCGAACAGGAUUAGAUACCCUGGUAGUCCACGCCGUAAACGGUGGAUGCUGGAUGUGGGGCCCGUUCCACGGGUUCCGUGUCGGAGCUAACGCGUUAAGCAUCCCGCCUGGGGAGUACGGCCGCAAGGCUAAAACUCAAAGAAAUUGACGGGGGCCCGCACAAGCGGCGGAGCAUGCGGAUUAAUUCGAUGCAACGCGAAGAACCUUACCUGGGCUUGACAUGUUCCCGACAGCCGUAGAGAUAUGGCCUCCCUUCGGGGCGGGUUCACAGGUGGUGCAUGGUCGUCGUCAGCUCGUGUCGUGAGAUGUUGGGUUAAGUCCCGCAACGAGCGCAACCCUCGCCCUGUGUUGCCAGCACGUCAUGGUGGGAACUCACGGGGGACCGCCGGGGUCAACUCGGAGGAAGGUGGGGAUGACGUCAGAUCAUCAUGCCCCUUACGUCCAGGGCUUCACGCAUGCUACAAUGGCCGGUACAACGGGAUGCGACACGGCGACGUGGAGCGGAUCCCUGAAAACCGGUCUCAGUUCGGAUUGGAGUCUGCAACCCGACUCCAUGAAGGCGGAGUCGCUAGUAAUCGCGGAUCAGCAACGCCGCGGUGAAUGCGUUCCCGGGCCUUGUACACACCGCCCGUCAAGUCAUGAAAGUGGGUAGCACCCGAAGCCGGUGGCCUAACCCUUUUGUGGAUGGAAGCCCUUUUAAGA